ACGGGUGAGUAACGCGUGGGAACACACCUUUUGGUUCGGAACAACACAGGGAAACUUGUGCUAAUACCGAAUAAGCCCUUACGGGGAAAGAUUUAUCGCCGAAAGAUUGGCCCGCGUCUGAUUAGCUUGUUGGUGAGGUAACGGCUCACCAAGGCGACGAUCAGUAGCUGGUCUGAGAGGAUGAUCAGCCACAUUGGGACUGAGACACGGCCCAAACUCCUACGGGAGGCAGCAGUGGGGAAUAUUGGACAAUGGGCGCAAGCCUGAUCCAGCCAUGCCGCGUGAGUGAUGAAGGCCCUAGGGUUGUAAGGCUCUUUUGUGCGGGAAGAUAAUGACGGUACCGCAAGAAUAAGCCCCGGCUAACUUCGUGCCAGCAGCCGCGGUAAUACGAAGGGGGCUAGCGUUGCUCGGAAUCACCGGGCGUAAAGGGUGCGUAGGCGGGUCUUUAAGUCAGAGGUGAAAGCCUGGAGCUCAACUCCAGAACUGCCUUUGAUACUGAGGAUCUCGAGUUCGGGAGAGGUGAGUGGAACUGCGAGUGUAGAGGUGAAAUUCGUAGA
Molecule: ribosomal RNA, 557 nt
Filed under: uncultured Afipia sp.
Lineage: Bacteria; Pseudomonadati; Pseudomonadota; Alphaproteobacteria; Hyphomicrobiales; Nitrobacteraceae
Description: bacterial SSU rRNA
Rfam family: Bacterial small subunit ribosomal RNA
Source: RNAcentral